This 491-nucleotide ribosomal RNA is filed under the name uncultured bacterium. RNAcentral's name for it is "partial 16S ribosomal RNA". It matches the Rfam family "Bacterial small subunit ribosomal RNA", at positions 29 to 507 of the family's 1533-position model. The record is from RNAcentral.
GUGAACGCUGGCGGUAGGCCUAACACAUGCCAGUCGCACGGCAGCACAGUAAGAGCUUGCUCUUACGGGUGGCGAGUGGCGGACGGGUGAGGAAUACAUCGGAAUCUACUUUUUCGUGGGGGAUAACGUAGGGAAACUUACGCUAAUACCGCAUACGACCUACGGGUGAAAGCAGGGGAUCUUCGGACCUUGCGCGAUUGAAUGAGCCGAUGUCGGAUUAGCUAGUUGGCGGGGUAAAGGCCCACCAAGGCGACGAUCCGUAGCUGGUCUGAGAGGAUGAUCAGCCACACUGGAACUGAGACACGGUCCAGACCCCUACGGGAGGCAGCAGUGGGGAAUAUUGGACAAUGGGCGCAAGCCUGAUCCAGCCAUACCGCGUGGGUGAAGAAGGCCUUCGGGUUGUAAAGCCCUUUUGUUGGGAAAGAAAAGCAGCAGGUUAAUACCCCGCUGUUCUGACGGUACCCAAAGAAUAAGCACCGGCUAACUUCGUG